AACAUGAGUUGCUAGCGGAAGAUCAGGGAUAUCCCUGUAAGGUCCCUUUCGUACAGCAUGGAGAAGAAACAAACUUAUCAAACAACCCCUCCAACCAAUCAUAUUUCAACAUUCUUUAAAUCAAUUUAUCUUUUUGUUUUUCAAUUAAUGUCUUAAUUCUAUAUAUAUUUCAUCUAAUUCACUUUCCUCUUUCUAUAUAUAUCCUUCUCCUAAUUCAGAAUUUUCUUCUAUCAUCUAUCAACGCCUCCUUCAUCACUUGUAGUAUCCCUCCAUUAAAGUGCCUUUGUAACUUGAAUCCACACCUAUAUCACCCUCAUGGCCUUUGAUUUUUAUAUUUUUUAAUCCAAAAUAGUUACGACGUUAUUCUACGCUUUAGUGUACGACGCUAUACAAAUUGUGUCACCAAAGAUCAAAAUAAGUUUCUUUUACGACUAUGCCCAUUUUUAGUUUCACUAACUUAAAACUUUUAACAAGUCAACCAUAGACAUGACAAUAGGAUUCUACGUUUACCCCUUUUGAGGUGAUAUGCCCAUGUUUUACUCAUCCAUGCAAGAAAAAGAAAACUACAAAAUAGUAGUCUUGAUAAUGUGAGUGUCUUUUUAUGGGCAUUUCUGUACGUUAAUUUUAUAACUUUUAAUUUAGGUUUUUUUUACUUUUUUUCUUUAUGUGAAUGUCUUGAAAUAGGAUGGUAAGAAGCCUAUUCUUCUAUGGACUAUGGAGGAAUAGCUUCCCUAGGAUACAAUAUGUAUAUGGAAAUGAUCUUAAAGCAACUUUAAACAUGUCAUUAGAGUCACUAUUGACCUACUUUGCUACAAUUUUCACAGUUGUUGACCAAUUAUUUGUCGCACAAAAUCCUUUUGUUUUCAGCUCUACCAUUUAACUGGACAUUUGUUAUCCCUUAACUAAAAUCACGUAUUUGUUCAAUAUAACCAUAGCAGUAACAUACAACGACACAUUGCAUUAUCAUAACCUACCAGAAGAUUGUCCACACCGCGAAAACUUCCGGCUUAAAAUCGGAGUCGUGAUCAAAUUCGUGCUUGUAGUGCUUACAUUAGUACCUGCCAUAUUUAGUGACUUCUAUGUUGAGCUAACAACAUUUUGUGGAGUGAAUGCGGGAGUGAUGGUGGAGGGUUUUAAUUUCCAUGAAUAAUGUGUUGUUUUAUUCUGCUCUUACUUUUUGGCUGAAUAGGUUUUGGUUAGUCAUUCAUCAUUCCCGUCGUUUGCUUCUACUGUAUCAUGUGGCCGAAGAGCCAAAGAAGGCAUAUAUCAUAUAUAAGUUCCUUAACUACAAAAUGAUUAGAAGAAUAGUAUUUACUAAUAUUUUAAUUAUUUGCUAGAUUGAUUUUGCAAAUAAGGUAAUAUAAAUGUAAGAUUGUAUAAGGUAAUAUUUGGAUACAAUGAUUCAUAAUUUGUUGUA
Helianthus annuus (common sunflower) is the source of this 1417-nucleotide long non-coding RNA. RefSeq lists it as uncharacterized. The record is from RefSeq and is a predicted model, not a curated record. Lineage: Eukaryota; Viridiplantae; Streptophyta; Magnoliopsida; Asterales; Asteraceae. The transcript has 3 exons.